This is a long non-coding RNA of Hippopotamus amphibius kiboko, 15291 nucleotides long. RefSeq lists it as uncharacterized. NCBI's taxonomy places the organism in Eukaryota, Metazoa, Chordata, Mammalia, Artiodactyla, Hippopotamidae. The record is from RefSeq and is a predicted model, not a curated record. The transcript has 9 exons.
CCGGGAGCCCAGGAGCCAGCGGUGUCCGAGGCGCAAGGGCUUCUCCAGGCCCUCGCCUCCGACCCUGGCCCCGUUUUACAGGAUGGAAGUUGUUCGCUGCCAAAGAGCCAAAACCAACCAACCACCUAACCAACCAAACCAAACCAAACCAAACCAGAACAAAAAGAAAGAAAUGCUGGCAUCUAGAGGAGAGAAUGAAUGCUUCUCACUGUGGAGAGCAGGGAAGACUUCUGGAAGAGGUGGCCCUGAAGGGUGGAUCAGAUUUGGACCAAGGGAGAUGGAAGAGAGAAUUUCAGUGGAAGGAAUGGCUUGUACAAGGACAUGAAGGUGGGAGAGGUCGGGGCCUGUUUGGAAGCAGCAGGUGGUCCAGUUUGUUUUGCAUUUUGAAGAUUAUAAGAGAAAGGGACAGGCAAUGGUGAGCCACUGAAGGUUUCUGAACAGAGAAGCACUUAUAUUGGGAGCUGUCAGAGCUGUGCUUCCAGGAGAUGAAUCUGGCAAUAACAUGGACUGAAGCCCCAGGUCCAUUUAUCAGUGAUGCUUUGGAUGGGAUUCCUGCCCUGGUGUGAAGAGUAGACCAGAUGAAUUCCACAUUCCCUCCUGGCUCUGCGACUCGAUGACUACAGAGAUCCCUGCAGAGCCUUCCUAUUGCCAUGGCUGCCCUUGCUCUUGAAGACGACAGAUCGACGAAUGCAUUUGCCCCCCAGGUCCGAUGAUCUACUACGUCACAGUGGUACCUCGAUGGCUAACAGGCAGCCCACGUCUCCCUUAUGGGCCAUGGUUUCCCAGGGAUCUCCUUGGCUUUGGGGGCUGGAGCUCUGCGCGAUGAUUGAAAGGCCCCAGUUCCCUCUUGAACCACCCAAUUCUCCAGAAAGAAGGGAUUCCAGAAGGUGAAUCCGUCACCACCCUGCCUCUGGUUGGAAGACCCUCAACACAGUCCUGUGCACCACCACAUCCAAAAUCCUAAGGAAUUCUGGAUGUGAUGGGGGGGAGCAUUCCUGAUUUGGGGUGAGAAUACUUAAAACUCAACAGUGGUGCUAAGAAGAGGGUUUCAGUGAGGAUCCCCAUGGACCAGGGAGCUUAGACCAAGAGAUGGGAAGAGGAUGGGUCAAACUCCAGCCUGGAGUGUAUCUGCUGCAGAAAGAGGUGAAAGGGAAAAAGACUUCAAGCAAGAAAGAAGACACUCAGCCUCCCACCCACACUCUCUCCCCUUUGAUGGUGCCUUUAGCUUCUGGGUGGAGGGGGGCGUUGUGGUCAGAAUAAUCAUCAGGGUCAUCGAGAGGAAACUGACUUUUAUUUUUGAGAGCCAUCUAGAAGCCAAGAAAUGGAAUCUGUUGUAAGGGAGGAACAGAGUUCCUGGGUCAGCCCAAGCCCUGCAGAGAAAGUGCAUGGUGGACGCUCGCCCUGGGAGUGGACGGGAGGCUGUGUGUCCUUCUCUAGGGCGCUGACCUUCUCAGGAUCUGAUGAGAGCUGUGUCCCUCUGCCUUGCAAGCAGCACACAUGCACAAGCACGGUGUUUACAUGGCAACCCACGGGAGCGCAGCUGGGGCCCUGAGUUAGCAAUCCCUGCUUUCAGGAAGGAGGCAGCCCUGAGCCCAGACUCCCUGUGAUCUAGGCUAAUGGGUGUUAGUGACGUGGAGAAUCCAGAAGGAGGCAAAUGUAAGCGAGAGCUGUGUAAUGCGAAGUGAAAAAAAGAACAAGCACGAUGCGUACACUUCAUUGCGAUUCUGUACAGACUCCGCACCUAGAAAGAGAAAAAUGCAAAGGCAACAUGGAGAAAUGAAAACGUUUUGUGAGUGACGUUUUUUCAUUUUAAAAAUUUGCUUUAAUGUCAUUAUGAAGUAAUUUUAAUAAUAGACUUAGUUUUUUUUCUAUAUUAUGUAAAGUGCUUUCCCUCCCGAAAUGAGCCUCUCUCUGAAUUGUAUUUGGUUUAGGUUAAUCUCUAUGCCCUGCGCUCCUUGAGCACAUGCUUCUGAGGAGAGGUGCUCCAGGACAGUGCCAAGUGGCCUGCAGAGGCCAUCCAAAGGGCGGGUCACUGAAUUUGGGGGACCCUCAGGAGGCAGUUGGGCAGGGAGCAGGCCUGUGAUUUGGAGUCAGGAGUCCUAGGUUCGCAUCUUGGAGAAGAAGGGUGGCCAGCUGUCCCGUCUUGCCUGGGAUGAGGGGGUUCCCAGGACGUGGAACUUUCAGUGCUAGAACUAGAAAAGUUCUGGGCAUACCAGAGUGAGCUGGUCCCCUAAGAGUGAGACACUAAACUUUCUGUGCCUCAGUUUCCUCAUUUGUAAAAGGAUGCUGAUGACUUCCAGGAUCUUUGUAAAAGUACUUUGUGAACUCUACCAUCUUCAACCCUGUUGGCGAUGAUGAUGAUUUGUGAGGUAGGAUGGGGGGAGGCAGUAGGGGAAGGGGUGGUUCUCCCCAGCCUUGAGAGCUGAGAGCCCAAGAGCCUGUUCAAAUGGAUGCUGUGAUGUAUAUACAUGGAGAGCUUGAGGCAACCACUCUCUCUCAACAGACUUUUAACAAUAAUUCAUUCAAGAAAUAUUUAUGCACCGCCUAUGACCAGGUGCCAGGCUAGGCACUGGCAUAAAGCCGUGUACUGCUGAGACAGGCUCCCCUUGUUGCUGGGGCCAAAGUCUAAUGGGGAAGAAAGGCUCUAUUAGGAAGUGGGAUGAUAAGGAAAUCUAGGGGCCUAUGAGAGUGUCAGGUGAGUGGAGACCCCUCCCUCGUCUAGAGGUUCAGGAAGGUCAGGGGAGCUUUCCUGCAGGGGUGAGCUGAGCCCUGAGGGGUGAGGACUGGCUAGCCAGGGAUGUCACAUGGAGAAAGCAGGCAGAAGGAGAGGCCGUGAGAAGGCCCAGGGGGCUGGGUGUGUCAAAGGACUGAGAGUUCAGUCUGGUGGGUACAGUACAAGGUGGGGGGUGGGGGGAGCGCUGGCUGGGAGGUGUGUGCCCGGGUUGUGUGGGUCUUGUGCACUGGAGUCUGGACUUCAUCCUGAAGGCAAUGAGAAGCUGUGGUGGGUGUGGCGGAGAGAACAAGGUUGUUUCACACCGGGCCACUUGGCAGCCCCAGCCCCUGUUAGGCUAAGGUGGUGUUCCUGGGCCAGGCACCGGGUUUGGCCUGUUAUGGCCACGUCCUCCGGACCGGACAGAGCCAGCUGUCUUUUCUGUUCCCGAGGCCCCCGAGCCUGGCCCAUCUGCUGAGCACUCCUGCAGUUUCAAGCGUGGUGUAGUCAAUCUGUACCUUCUCCUGGCAGGGGCCCUGCCGCCUGGCACAGACUGGGGCUCCGGAGAGAAGAGUGGCGCCCCCCUCCCAGGCACGCCGCUGUCACCACAAUGGGUGUGUGGGCUUGAUGGCUGCGUGGCAGUGAGCUCAGGGCAUGCUGGGCUCUCCCACAGCCCCGGCAGCAGAUAAAUAACAAACAGUUACACCAUCGACCCAGGUACAGGGAGGCGGGUGUGCUCCCAUAUGCAUGUACACGCACACACGUGCUUGUGUGCACACACUCAGAUACACUGACAUUUAUGUCCACACUUCCACUGAAACUCAGGCAAGCCCACAAAGAGAUUCCCUGCUAUGUGCAUGAGAUGAACAGGCACACAUUACAUUACAUUCACCCAACACUGACACACAGAUGUUACAAAUGCUCUUUAUCCAGCCUUACCUAGAUGCCUGUACACUUACAUUGGCCCAACCUCCAUAUCAAGUGUUUAGCAAAAUGCCUGGCACAUAGGAUUAUUAUAUUGCUAUAUUUUAGUAUGAUAUUGUACUAAGACACUUGAGUGUGUGCCCAUGUACCAAUAUACUCAUAGCCACAUACAUCUCCCGUAUGCACAUUUAAAGGCAGGUGCCCACAUAAGAACUCCAUCCUUCCACGAAUCUGGUACAUAAACCCGCGAGCCCACAAACAAGCUCACUCUCAGAGACGCACAGAUUGCCAUAAUUGGCUUUCCCAGUUGCACCUACACACAAUCACAACAGCAAUAAUAAUAAUAGCAAAACCAGGGUGGGUGAUUGCUUUAUAUUUUUCAAAGGCCUUUCAGGCCUGUAAUCUCAUUUGAUCCCCACAGCAGCCCAGUGAGGCAGGUGGGUGGAGCAGGCAUUUUUACCCCAGGUUUACGGUUGAAGAAGCAGAAGCCAGAGAGGUUAAAUACACCAUCUGGGAGGCAGCCUGGAACCCAGAUCUGGCUUGUCUGUCCUCGUGAUCUUCUCGUGGCCUGUUUGACAACUUCUAGCUGUCACUAUGGAAAGCAGCAACUGGGGUGGAGGCCUGGUGCUAGAUUCUGGAUUCCUGGUCAAAACAUUUCCCGGAGUCAACCCAGGCUGAGAAGUGGGAAUUGGAGGCUGAUAAAGGGAAACUGCCAUCAUUAGAAAUCCCAUAAAGUCUCAUUUACAACUCCUGUCAGAUGAAAGGAGCAAUUGACUGUGUUGGAGGGAAAAGCAAAUAGUGAUUUCCUUUAGGACUGCCCAGCCUCAGACAGCUGAUUCUGGAGGGCCCAGAGGUCCUGGGAGAACGGGGGUCCUGUCCCAUCUGAGCUCUCCCCAUCUCCAUGCACUUCCUCUCCCCUCUGUCGGGGCUGGCCUCUGGGUCCUUCAGCUCUGGUACUAGGGGAAGGGGAGAGAAAAGGACAAAGAAGAUGCCUCCCCCUCCCUCAGACCCCUCUCUCCUCCCGCACUGCAUCCGAAGCCUCCCUAUCCUGCUCUGUCCUGAGCCUUCAGGACCCAUUGACCAUCCUGCCCCCAACCUGGCUGGGGCAGAAAUAGCGAACAGGCUGCCAGCCCAGCACCUGGCCUGUCAAGUGCAGGGAAGCCUCAGAUCCAGCAACUUUGAAAGUGAUGAGACAGCUUUUUUCAAAGGCCCGUGCCCCACGGGGGAGGUGGCCUCUUGGUGAAUGAACAGGCAGAGUGAUCAUCCCUUCUUUUGCUUCUGAUGGUGCUGUUGCUUCACUUUGAUUUCGUCAUCGCUUGUGUGCCUUAGUUUCUGCAUCUACAAAAUGGGCAUCGUAAGAACAACCGGACAGCGCUGCCGUGAGGGUGAGAUGAGAAGAGGUGUGUGAACCCCCAGCACUGUGCCCCUCACACUGUUGGUCGGGCUCCUGAGGAAGGAGGGCCUCCCCUGCUGGGGCUGGAGGGGUGGUGUGGCAAGAGGCGCUCCCCAGCCUCCUGGGUGUGCCGGCUUUGGCUGGGAGAGAAGGAGGGACAGGGAGGGGACGUCUGUUUGACACCCUUGUCAGCAUCCGUUACCUGGUGUGUAUUUUCCCAGGAGCUGAUUACAUUACAGCAUGUGUUGAUAAACAUUUGGAGUCGGAAGGAGUGAAAACUGAGCGGAAUGUUAAAUGAGUUGUGGUUUGGUCAGGAUGCUGAGAAAGGGCUGGCUAUGCCAAUAGGAGGUGGUGACAAGGGCCCCAACCUGGUGGCUUCCUAGCCUGCCAGGCUCAUUUUGCUUUCUUGCUCUCCCCUCCCCUAUGUUCCCUGUGUUGGCCCCCAGCAGGGCAUCCAGACAUGGCCCCCGAGGCAGGCAGCGUGUUAUAGCAGAAGAGGGGCAGUGUUAGGACUCAGGCAGUUAUGGGUUCCAUUCCCAGCUCUGCCACGGACUGGCUUUUGGCAACUUGGGCCAGUACCUCAACCUCCCUGAGCCUCGGUCUCCUCUUCUGUAAAGUGGGCUUAACAUCCACUCCACAGAGUGAAGUGAGGGUUAAAUGAGAAGACAUCAACCAGGCCGGUACAGGGAACUAAGCACUAAGUAAACAUUGGUUCUUUUCCCAGUUUACCCAGAGGAAAAGUGUCCGCCGUAGCCCUGAUUGCACUUUGGAUGUUAGGCAACUGUUUCUUACAUCUACUAAGAGGAAGUGGGCUCAUGUUCUUUAUAAUGCAAACUUCCUCACUUCCAGUCCUGGUUGGGACUGGAGCAAGCAACCCAGGGUGCGUGUGGGAUCUUCCUCUCUCAAUCUUUAUACACCUGUUCACACAUGACAGUACCAGUCAGUUAAUUAUUUGCGUAGUUAUCUGCUUGGUGUCUUUCUCCCUCACUCAUCCACACAUUUUCUGAGGACAGGGACUAUGUUAUCUGGUCAUAAUCGAACGCUCAGGGCCUAGCCCAGUGCCUGGCACUGGAAGGGAUGGACGACUUUCACACAUCUGAUUGGUCCAGAGCAGAAUGGUCAAGAUAACCCCUAACAGAGCUCUGCGGCAUCUUAUCUCAUGGCUGUUUCUAAACUCAGAGCACUGGCUGAACUUCCCAGUUGGCCUUUGGCAUACAUUACCUCCAAUUAACUUUUCCUGGCUCUCUUGUCUCUCUGAAGUUGUGGGCUUCUGGAGGACUGGGUAUUUAGACCUUCAAGAGAAGGACAUGCACCACUGACAGAUGAAUGGAUAAAGAAGACGUGGGAUGUGUAUAUAUACACAGUAAGUCCCCUACAUAUGAACCUCCAAGUUGCAAACUUUCAGAGAUGUGAACGUGCAUUCCAUCAACGUCGGCGUGAGUGAAAUUGCAGCUCGCCCUCCAUCUCCUAUUGCUGACAGUCCUUCAGCUGUACCAUCUCCCACCUCCUCUCCCUCCUCCAGUCAGUAACUCUUCUUGCCUGUUCACCCGAUGCCAGCCCCCUGUAUGCCAGCUGUCGUACUGUACUACUGCACUUUUCAAGAUGGGAAAACUAAGGUACAGAGGGGUUGAGUUACCUGCCCAGCAUCACACAGCCAUCAACUGGUGAAGCUGGGAUUCAAGCCAGGUGGUUUGGCUCCAGAGUCCAUGUUUCCAGCAGCAAUGUUAUACUGCUUCUCUAAAGGAAUGAGUGAAUGAAGCACAUCAGGAAGGAUGAUUUGGUUCUUGAAGGUCAAGGUGGAUUCUAAAGCUGCUCCUCAGAAAAGCUCAGGGUUUCCUGUGUGUUUACCUCGUGCCAGGCACUGUACUAGGUGCUGGGGUUGGACGAAGAGCUCUUGGGCCAGACACAUACCAAGCACAGUAAGAUGCGCUAGAGUGAUGCCAAGCAGUGAACCAGUCUGCUCCUGAAACAGGCCAGUCUCCCUGCCUCCCAAGGCCUUUGCACAUGCUGUUCCAUCUGCUGGCAGUGAUCUUCCCCAGACCUCUGCUAGGCUGCUGCUUCUCAUCACUGUAUCUCAGCUUAAUGUCACCUCUUCAGAGAGGGCUUCCCUGAUUGCUAAUCUAAAGUAGCCACAAGACCGGCCUUCCCUGGUGAUGCAGUGGUUAAGAAUCCACCUGCCAAUGCAGCGGACAUGGGUUCAUUCCCUGGGCUGGGAGGAUUCCACAUGCCACAGAGCAGCUAAACCCAUGUGCCAUACCUACUGAGCCUGCGUGCUGCAACUACUGAAGCCCACGUGCCUAGAACCCCUGCUCUGCAACAAGAGAAGCCACUGUAAUGAGAAGCCCGCGAACCGCAACAAAGAGUAGCCCCUGACCACCACAACUAGAGAAAGCCCACGUGCAGCAAUGAAGACCCAAUGCAGCCAGUAAAUAAACAAAUAAAUAAAUAAAUAAAUAAAUUUAUUUUAAAAAAAGGUAGCCACAAGACAUUCUAUCCUAUCCUGAUCUUUUAAAAAACAGCUUUAUUGAGAUAUAAUUGACGUAAAAGAAGUUGCACAUAUUUAAAAUGUUCAGUGGAUUAAUUUUGGCGUAUGUAUACACCUGUGAAACCAUCACCACUGUCAAGACAGCCAACGUAACCAUCACCCCCAAAGUUUCUUUAUGUACCUUUGUAAUCCCUCCCUCCUGCCCCUCCCAGCCUUCUCUCCCCAAUCCCCUGACAACCACUGAUCUGCCUUCUGUCACUAUAGAUUAGUUUUCAUUUUCAAGAAUUUCAUAUAGGUGGAAUCAUACAGGAUGUACUCUUUUGGGGGGAGAGUCUGGCUUCUUUCAGAAAGCAUAAUUAUUUACAGAACUAUCCAUGUUGCAUGAAUCGGCAGUUUAUCCCUUUGUAUUGCUGAGUAGCAUUCCAUUGUACAGACAAACCGCGGUUAGCUUAUCUAUUCACCUGUUGAUGGACACUUGGGUUGUUUCCAGGGGUUGGCUGUUGUACAUUAAGCUGCAUCAACAUUUAUGUACAAGUUGUUUCUCUUUUGUAAUACCCAAGAGCAAAAGAGCUGGAUCAUAUUUAACUUUUUAAGAAAGUAUCCAAACUGUUUUCCAAAAUGGUUGUACCAUCUCACAUUCCCGCCAGCAGUGAAUGAGAGUUCAGUCCUUCUACAUCCUCGACAAAAAUUGGUGUGGUCAGUCUCUUUAUUUGUAGCUACUCUAAUAGCUCUGUAGUAGUUUCCCAGUGUGUGUGUGUAUGUAUGUGUGUGUUUAAGGUUUAUUUAUAUUAUUUUUAUUUAUUUUUGGCUGCAGUGGAUCUUCAUUGCUGUGGGCAGGCUUUCUCUAGUUGUGGUGAGUGGGGGAUACUCUUUGUUGCAGUGCGCAUGUUUCUCAGUGCAGUGCCUUCUCUUGUUGCAGGGCACUGGCUCUAGGCGUGCAGGCUUCAGUAGUUGCAGCAUGUGGGCUCAGUAGUUGUGGCACACGGGCUUAGUUGCUCCGAGGCCUGUGGGAUCUUCCCGGACCAGGGAUUGAACCCGUGUCCCCUGUGGUGGCAGCUGGAUUCUUAAUCACUGCACCACCAGGGAAGUCCCUCCCAUUGUUGUUUUAAUUUUCAUUUCCCUAAUGAUUACUAAUAUUAAGGAUCUUUUCAUUUGCUUCUUUGCCAUUUGUAGAUCUUCUCUGGUGAACUGUCUGUUUAAAUAUUUUGCAUCCCCUUUUCAAAAUUGGGUUGUUUGUUUUCUUAUUAUUGAGUAGUGGAAUGUACUUUUCAUAUUCUAGAUACAAGUGCUUUACCAGAUGUGUGAUUUGCAAAUAUUUUCUCCCAGUCUCUGGUUUGUCUUUUCAUUCUCUUAGUGUCUUCCAAAGAACAGAAGUUAUUAAUUUCGCAGUCAGAUUUUUCAAUAUCCUUUUUUAUAGAUCAUGCAUUUUGGUAUUAUAUCUAAGCUGUCUUUGCCUAUAACAUUGAGCUGUAGAAGGACUGAGUCUCUCAUUUUACUUUUGUACUUGGCACAGAAUUUACCAGUUAAGAAUUGUGGAAUAAAUAGACAUUGUUUUAAUCUUUAUAAGAACACUGCCACGUGGGGAUUCCCAUUUUAUACCUGCAUUAACUGAGUCUUAGAGAGGUUAAGUAAAUUGUCCAGUAAGUACCACAUAAUCCAAUAAAUGAACCAAGCUUGUUCCUACAUGGUUUUCUCUCUGGGUAUUCACAGGGUAGCAAAAUAUACGAGUAAUGCUGGCAGAGAAACUAGACAACGGGUCUCAAAUUUCAGUGUGCAUGCAGCUAAAGGCCAAGAAUCUGUACCUCUCACAAGCCCCAUACUUUGAGAGGCCCUGACCCAGCCUGUGCAAGUGCAGGAGAAGUGAAAGUUCUGCUCUGUUUGGAGGAGGAGGGGGAUGCUUGGUGUAGAUGGACCCAGAAGCACUAGAGUGAAUGGUUGUGAAUUCUGAGUGUUAAAGACCUCAGCCCUGGAGUGUGGGCAUUUGUAGAUAUAUACAAACAAGCUCCAAGGGCUAGAUCAAUGCCAGCAAGUCUUUUUUUCAGUGCCAAUGGCUUCUUUAUGAGGCAAUUCCUUUUCCCUCUAUUCCUGUGUUUCUUAAGUUUCCAUAGAUAGGGCUCUUUCUCUGCUUUUAAUAAAAUGAUAAACUAUAAGAGUCUUUCAAGCUCUUCUUGGAUGAGUCCUAGAAACCUCAUUGCCCCAUCUGGCCACAUUCCUCACUUCCUGCCUGGCUCCAUGAGGAAUUGGGGACAAGGUUGUGAGGGAAGGAAGACAGGGAAACAAAGAAGUUCUGGGCCACUUUUUAGGGAAAGGCUUAAUUGGCGGUUACCUCUGCUCAGGGACUUGGAGGUAGCAGCCCUUUUGGCAUAUUCAGGGGAGGGGAAUGAGGAAGAUGAAGAGACAACUCUGGACCCUGGGACUGCGCCACAGGACUUACUCAUCUCAGGAAGUUCUCCGGGCUCACCCUCAGUCUGUGCAGAUCAGGGAAGGAAUGGGGUAUCCGUAGUAGGGAUGAGAAGGGGGUGGGAGGGAUACUUGGAUAAGGGAGAUGGAGCCUGUGCUCCACCCUCAUCCCCUGGGCCUUGGGAUGGCACAUUCCAAAGCCUUAGCUAGGUUCCCUGUUCCCCUGCCCUCUAGUGUCACAAUGGAUGAGGCCUCUGCUGCAGAAAGGCAGAAGUGGCAGGCAGAGGCAGUGAGGGCUGGUGUCCCAUGGGGCAGGCAGAGAGGGAGCAGGAGGGAGCACACAGAAGGAGGAAGGGCAGAGGGCUGGCAUCAGGACUAGGUGCCAAGGUGCUGUGUUAUGAGAGGUGGGAGUGGACACCCUCCUGGAGGCAAUUUACAUAACACAUGGCUUGGCUGUCAAUUGCCUUGGGAGCUAAUAGAGUCAUUUGCACGCUAUCACCAGAUUGGCUGGAAGAAAUAGAAGGGCACUUGUCCCCUGGGGUGGUCUCUGCCAUCCUGUGUUGGCACUGGGCUGGACAGAUGUCAUUGCCUUCAUGUGGGAGAAGGCAGCACCUCUCUAGGUAGAGUCGCCAUCUUUGUGCGCUAGUCUCAGUGACUGGGGUCAGAGGGAGGGGUCUUAAUCAAUUCCCAAAUACCAGAGAAGGCAGGCCACUUGUGUUUAGUGUUAGAGUGGGAUACAGGCAAAAUUCUAUUAGGUGGGGCUAGUGUGUGGUGUCUUAUUUAUUAGAUAUUUGUAUUCAUUUUCCAUUGCUGGGUAACAGAUUAUCAGCAAGCUACCAGCUUAAAAUGACAUGUAUUUUAUCAUCUUACAGUUUCUGUAGGUCAGGAGUCCAGGCCCAGCCUAACUGGCUCCUUGCUCAGGAUCUCAAAAAGCUGAAAUCUAGGUGUUGGCACAUCUCUGUUUCUUUCUGGAGUGGGAUCUUCUUCCAGGCUCAUGUGGUUGUUGGCAGAAUUCAGUUCCUUGUGGUUGUAGGACUGGAGUCCCAUUCUCUUGCUGGCUGUCAUCCAGGGACCUCUCUUGGCUCCUAGAGGUGCUCAGUUUGUUGCCCUGUAGUGCUUUUAUAGGCUUGCUUGCCACAUGGCAGCUAAAUCCUUUAAGGUCACCAGGAAACUCUCUCCUGCCUCAGGAAAGGCCUGUCCCUCUUUCAAGGGCUUUCACUGGUUAAAUCAGGCCCACACAGGAUAACCUUCCAUUUAAUUAACUCAAAAUGAACUGACUUGAAAUCUUAAUUACCUCACUCCAUCAUCUUCAUGAAUCCCACCCACACUGAGGGAAGGGAAUCAUACAGAGCAUGUGCACAAGGAGGCAGGAAUCUUGGAGCAACCUUAGAAUUCUCCCUAUCACAAUAUUUUAGUGAAUGAGAGAGAGAGAGAGGUGAGAGUUAGAGAUGGAUAGACAGACAGACAGACAGAUAGAGGGAGGGAAGGAGAAGAGAGAGAGAGUGAUAGAUACAGAGAGGAGGAAAGAGAGAGGAGGAGGAGAGAGAGGGAAGGAGUGAGGGAGAGAGGGAGGAAGAGAGAGAGAGAGGGAGAGAAAGAGGGAGAGAGAAAGAAAUUGGAUAUUUAACGAUAGGAAGGAGUGAUGGGUAUAGAACAAAAGAGUUGCAGGGCACACCUGCAAUUCUGUUCUGCUCUGCCCUCCCCUUUCUUGCUUAUAAUGAAAACAGUUGAUAAUUCAGAAUUUUGAUUAUAAACAGUGACUGUCACAUGGAUAGGAACCAAAAGAGCAUUUGCUGUACAUGCUCAUUUCUUACAGGGAAUUGGUGGGAACCGGCUCAACCAAUGACUAUUGCUGUUGGCCAUCUGCUGAGACACACAAAUAGCUUAUAGAAUCAGAGGAUUACAGACUGCUGGAGCCAGAGGGGGCUUUAGGGAUCUUGUAAUCCAACACAAACAUUGCACAGAUGACAGAACCGAGGCCCAGAGAGGAGAUGUGAGUUGUGUGAGGUCACACAGCGAGUUGAUAGCAAGGUUUAUUGGGAACCAACCAAUGAUCACUCAUUCAGCCAGCGGAUUCUGUGUGAGGACUGGAAGGGGACAGAUGUGUCCUAGGGCAUCUCAUGCACUUUUCACUAUAGCAGUUUGCCUCAUCACACAGUCCCUGAUCUUCUAAUGGGACUGGCUUCAUAGAAUUCUUAAUGUGUAAAAUAUUAAAUAGCAGUUUUGUCUUCCUUGUCCCACUUGGCCAUGGGGAGUAGACAGAGGGCCUGCAGCCUGAGCACAGAUGGGGUGACAGCAGGAGGAGGGGGCUCUGCAGCUUGCAGAAUGGCAGUGUUUGUGUGCACAUGUGUAUGUGUAUGUGUGUGUGUGUAUCCAACUGAGAUUAAACCCUGAAAGCAGGACUCACCCCUACAUCAUCCUCCCCCAUGCACUCACAUCCUGCCUGUGACUGUGUCACCUCCAUCCCUCCAGAAGCCUUUAUCAGUAUCACAGAUGCUGAUUCACAAGAUGCAGGUUGCCAAGAAAGGUGAUUAAUGAUGGCAGCUGUGGUCCCUCUCACUCUCCCAGCCUCCCUGACCUUGUUUUUUUCCCUCCUCUUUCCAGUUUCCCCCUGUCACCACCAUCCUCUAAGGAAAUAGAUAAACAUUCCAGGCAUGAGAGGGGAAAGGAGGGGAAUUGGGUCCUUCUGGAGUAGCUGCUAUGGGUCAGGCACUGUGCCAGGCUCUUUCAUUUGUUCGCAUUUAACAAUGUAAAUAGAGAGAUGCUGCAGGGUGUCCUGGGAUGCAGGGGAGGGCUGUGUUCUUUCCAUGUCCCCAUAGAGGGCAGUGCCAAGCUGAUUUCCUGCAGACACAAUUGCCAUCCUUUGGCACAUAUGUUGUUCAUGUUGGUUCUGAUGUGCAUGUUGUCAGUGUGCCAGGCUCCAGAGGACAAACCCAUGUAACCCUGGAGCCUUCAAUGUUGAGGCUGUCAGGGACCUUAGCAAUCAUUCACUUUUCUAGAAAGGGUGAGAUGGGGGCCCAGAGGAAAAACAGCUUAGUCAAGGUCACACAAAGCUGGCCUCUCCUGACUCCUGUUCUAGAGUUUGUUUUCCUACUCAGCUUCUGUUUCUCCUGCUGUACUUUUGUUCUUGGGAGCAGGGCCACAGUCAUGGAGAGGUUCAGAGUUGCAGGGUAAAGGGUAAAGAGGGGUAAAGGUCUUUAAUGAAGGAGAUUUAUGGCAUGAGCUUGGCCUCUUCCAAUAUCCACCUCUGAGCUUCACCCAACUCCCUCCUUGAGUUAUGGGCCUUGUCAUAAUGACUAGAACAGGUUCCCAGCCUACGGAUGGGGCCUGGGAUGUGACAGAGCCUCUUACACUGAGGCAGCCUCCAUACAGUGGACUGUUUCCUUAGUUCUUUUGAUUGUGCCCAGGUGUGUGUGUGGAGGGGGUGGGAUCAGGAAGGGCUGUGGAAUGUGCAUUAAUUGUGUACAUAUUGUACUAAUAUGCACGUAGAACUCCAAGCCCAAUUUCUGAUUUGUGGGAUAAGACAGUGGGAUACUCACUUUCCCUUUUUUUGGUGGGAUCCAAGGAGUCAUGUAAAUGGGUGACUGAAUCCAACUCAGGAAGGCCAAGGAAUGCUUGAUUCCUGCCUCUGUUGGCUUCCUUGGGUCAGGCUGGGAGGUUUGGGGAGAGGGCUGGGCCCAGCCCCCAUCUUCCUGCCCUCUGCAACUUUGUUCUUCAGUGAACUUGGCCAAGUGAUGGAGAGACAGGACUGGAAAUUCAGGUCUGGUAGAUCUGAGAACAUGAGCUAAUGUCCAUGGCCCCAUUUUCUUGAGGAGUGCUUCUUUGGAUGGUAGAGUCAAGCAGUGUUUUCCCCCUUUGUACAAUAGAAGCUCAGGAAAUUCAGCACCUUGGACAAGGUUCAUGACAGGCCUCUGAAGGCAGGAAUGCCCUUCACACCCUUUGGUGCCCCCACAAGGCCUGUGGGUCUAGUGGCCAUGGGUACCAAUGCUCAGAGUUCCUAGUAGAUUCAGACCUGGGCCCCGAGGAUACUGGGUGGACUGGACUUUCAGGGCUGGACUCUCAGAAGGCUUGACUGCCUAGUACUCGUCAGCAAAUGCGAGGGAGUCCUGGGUUGGUCUGCUCCUUCAGUCGGGGGACUCACAGACAUGUUGUCAGGACUGCAGGUGCUGGAAGUGGGAUUGGGGAGGUCAUAUUAUGCCUGUUUGAUGCCCCAACUAUAAACUUCUUCAGGACAGGAACAGAAAAGUUCUUAUUCACUGCUUCGCCCCUAACACCUAACAGAGUGCCUGGCAGGUGGUAGAUACUCGUCAAUGAUUAAUUGUUGACUGAAUUGAGAAAAGAGGCCACGGAGAGUGAAAUUUGGGUUGAGAGCUUGAUAGAAACAAAAACAGGACCCUGGAUGGACCUCUGUUGGGAACUAUCUUCCCUGCCCUGAUUAAUUUUCUACUGCCCUCACCAGGAACCUCUCUCCCCAACUGUGCAGGUCUCCCCAGUGCACCCUGCUUCCCCAUCAUGUGUGUCUCUUCCCCUUGACAUCUGUCCACCUCUGAUCGAUCCUUCAAGGCUUCUCCCAAGGCUACCACCCACCCCUCCUUGACCCUUUCCUCACACUGCAGUGAGCUCUUUCCUAAACUCCUGGGUCACUGACUCUCUGGACCCCUUAGCAUUAACAAGGAGUUCAUAUGUUAUGUGAGUGUGUCUCAGUUCCAUUUUGGCAUGCCACAGCUUAAGCAAUCUUUUUUUUAAAAUGUAAUAAUAUAUUUUAUGUAACUCAGUAUCAUUUCAAUGUGUCCAAUAUUAAAAAAUUAUUGAGAUAUUUUACAUUUUUCUUUUCACUAUCCAUGGUGGGUUUUAUACCUUGAGCACAUCUCAUUUCACACUGUUUGCAUUUCCAGUGCUCAGUAGCCCCAGGUAGGGUGGACAGCACCUUUGAACAGCUUUGGUGCUGAGAACAGGCCAUCCGAGUACAUGUGGCAUAAGUGCCACCCCAGGCCUCUUUGUUGGGUGUCAAAGGGCUAAAAAGUCCAUGGAAGCCUGAGUCUUGGGUUCAUAUUCAAUCUCUUCUGUUCUUCACUCUGUAACUAGCUGGGACUGGUCCUCUGUGUUUCUAUCACCUGCUCCUGUAAAAGGGGGGGGGGAUCAUUUCUGCUUCCUCUCUAUAGCACCAGAAGGCUCUAACCUGCUUUCUCAGGUUUCCCACAAAUAGAGGGUGUUAUAUUUCCUUUCGCAUAAAAGAUUUCAGUCUAUAUGGCCCUACAUUCUAUUUUACAUCACCUUUCCCUCCUCUCACACCCCUACCCCCAAGCUGUCCUUGAAUAUUGAGAAGCUCUGACUCUAAUGGAAUUGUCCAUCUACUGCUGGAAUAGGUGCCUUGAGUGG